Molecule: ribosomal RNA, 973 nt
Filed under: Salmonella enterica
Lineage: Bacteria; Pseudomonadati; Pseudomonadota; Gammaproteobacteria; Enterobacterales; Enterobacteriaceae
Description: partial 23S ribosomal RNA
Rfam family: Bacterial large subunit ribosomal RNA
Source: RNAcentral
GCGUUCAUUAAAGUCGAGUUGGCUUAGGGAUACGUUCGUUGGGUAGGGGAGCGUUCUGUAAGCCUGUGAAGGUGUGUCGUGAGGCAUGCUGGAGGUAUCAGAAGUGCGAAUGCUGACAUAAGUAACGAUAAAGCGGGUGAAAAGCCCGCUCGCCGGAAGACCAAGGGUUCCUGUCCAACGUUAAUCGGGGCAGGGUGAGUCGACCCCUAAGGCGAGGCCGAAAGGCGUAGUCGAUGGGAAACGGGUUAAUAUUCCCGUACUUGGUGUUACUGCGAAGGGGGGACGGAGAAGGCUAUGUUGGCCGGGCGACGGUUGUCCCGGUUUAAGCGUGUAGGUGUGUGUUCCAGGUAAAUCCGGUUCACUUUAACACUGAGGCGUGACGACGAGGCACUACGGUGCUGAAGCAACAAAUGCCCUGCUUCCAGGAAAAGCCUCUAAGCAUCAGGUAACAUCAAAUCGUACCCCAAACCGACACAGGUGGUCAGGUAGAGAAUACCAAGGCGCUUGAGAGAACUCGGGUGAAGGAACUAGGCAAAAUGGUGCCGUAACUUCGGGAGAAGGCACGCUGACACGUAGGUGAAGUGAUUUACUCAUGGAGCUGAAGUCAGUCGAAGAUACCAGCUGGCUGCAACUGUUUAUUAAAAACACAGCACUGUGCAAACACGAAAGUGGACGUAUACGGUGUGACGCCUGCCCGGUGCCGGAAGGUUAAUUGAUGGGGUCAGCGCAAGCGAAGCUCCUGAUCGAAGCCCCGGUAAACGGCGGCCGUAACUAUAACGGUCCUAAGGUAGCGAAAUUCCUUGUCGGGUAAGUUCCGACCUGCACGAAUGGCGUAAUGAUGGCCAGGCUGUCUCCACCCGAGACUCAGUGAAAUUGAACUCGCUGUGAAGAUGCAGUGUACCCGCGGCAAGACGGAAAGACCCCGUGAACCUUUACUAUAGCUUGACACUGAACAUUGAGCCUUGAUGUGUAG